GGUUGUAGAUGAUUAUGCUCCAUACAUGUAUAUGAAUUAUAAAAUAAUAAAUGUUAUCUAGUAAGAUUCAUCAUAAGGAAUACAUCUUUCAAAAUAGAACUCAUAUGUUAUGAUGAAGUCUUUAGAACUACUACCAAAAUGAUAAAGGAGGAUUUAUCAUGUGGUUCUUAAAUCCUGCUCAUGACCAAAUGAUACAAUUGUUACAAGGAUGAUAAUUGUAUCAAGUGUAGGUUGUUAUAUGCCAUCUUAGUUGGUUGUUCUCUUAAUCAAGAUGUGUGGUGACAUGGGUAUGGCAUACGGAUGAUAUGUAGGAGUAUAUUUCACUGAGCAUGACCACUUU
RNAcentral lists this long non-coding RNA (340 nucleotides) under Elaeis guineensis (African oil palm). RNAcentral describes it as "long non-coding RNA (EGUI_LNC066664)". Lineage: Eukaryota; Viridiplantae; Streptophyta; Magnoliopsida; Arecales; Arecaceae. The record is from RNAcentral.